AUUGAACGCUGGCGGCAUGCCUUACACAUGCAAGUCGAACGGCAGCAUGGAAGAGCUUGCUCUUCUGAUGGCGAGUGGCGAACGGGUGAGUAAAGCAUCGGAACGUACCGUGUAGUGGGGGAUAACGUAGCGAAAGUUACGCUAAUACCGCAUACGCACUGAGGUGGAAAGCAGGGGAGUCGCAAGACCUUGCGCUAUACGAGCGGCCGAUGUCAGAUUAGCUAGUUGGUAGGGUAAAGGCCUACCAAGGCGACGAUCUGUAGCGGGUCUGAGAGGAUGAUCCGCCACACUGGGACUGAGACACGGCCCAGACUCCUACGGGAGGCAGCAGUGGGGAAUUUUGGACAAUGGGCGAAAGCCUGAUCCAGCCAUGCCGCGUGAGUGAAGAAGGCCUUC
This 396-nucleotide ribosomal RNA is filed under the name uncultured bacterium. RNAcentral describes it as "bacterial SSU rRNA". It matches the Rfam family "Bacterial small subunit ribosomal RNA", at positions 30 to 419 of the family's 1533-position model. The record is from RNAcentral.